UACGUAGGGAGCAAGCGUUGUUCGGAUUUACUGGGCGUAAAGGGCGCGUAGGCGGCAAUUCAAGUCAUCUGUGAAAUCUCCGGGCUUAACUCGGAACGGUCAGAUGAUACUGUCUUGCUAGAGUGCAGAAGGGGCAAUCGGAAUUCUUGGUGUAGCGGUGAAAUGCGUAGAUAUCUGGAGGAACACCGGUGGCGAAGGCGGCAUCCUGGACCAAUACUGACGCUGAGGAGCGAAAGCUAGGGGAGCAAACGGG
RNAcentral lists this ribosomal RNA (253 nucleotides) under uncultured bacterium. Its description in RNAcentral is "partial 16S ribosomal RNA". It matches the Rfam family "Bacterial small subunit ribosomal RNA", at positions 524 to 776 of the family's 1533-position model. The record is from RNAcentral.